UUCGGCGCCCCAUCUACCCCCAAGGUGAGGCCGCGUCCUCGUCCUCCUUCCUUCCUCCUCCGCGGUCCGGCUCGUUCCCGGCGUGAUGUGCGCUUCUCUGUUCGAUAGCAGUGUGUUGGGGGUGCAGAAGUUGCGAGUGGUGCAGAGUAGUGUAGGGUUAUGGGGGUGCCGCGCAGAGGAGGGCUUCCUCCCCCCUCUCUACAGCAGCGCCAUGGCCAUAGGAACCCUCCUCGCCGCCGGCAGCUGGGGUUCCUGUCACCUCGGUCGCGGUAGACGUAGAUCGUCAGAGUAGAGCUUGCGGUUUGCAGCAGGGCUUCCUCCCCGCGUAGGUGGGUACCCAGUAGGUGCGGGUUCUUCUUCUCGCCGUCUCUCAUCGCCGUAUGCACGAGCUCCGCGCCGGCAGUGCAGCGUAGCAACGCCAGACAGGAUUCCCGUCUGUUCUCUGUUGCUGUCGUUCUCAGUAGGCAGAGGGCGACUUCAGAUAACUUUUCCUGUUCGAGUCUCCCCCUUUGUCAGUUAACACUUCGUAGCCCAGUGGUUAUUCCAUGUGCGCGCCGGAUGAGAGGUUGUGGCUUCGAUUCCUCCUCGGCGCUGAGUAUAUUUUGUCAGAUUUUUCCCCUGUUAAUCCUGUGCAAGAGCAGCAGGGACAUGUUACCCUGUACUCUUCCCCCUUUCUAUCGAAAUGGUGGUGCUAGUGUAGUGGCUAGGUGGUGCCCUGUGUACCAGGGGGUGCAGGGUUCGAAUCCCAGGACCCUGAUAUUUUUUGUAGCUAUUUUUUUUCCUUCUUUUCUUGCUGCCUUUAUUUGUUCUUCCUCUUCCUUGGGCUUGGGCAGCAAGCUGGAUUUAAGAUCAUUUUUUUCAUGCUAGUGUAGUUAGUAGCAGUUCCCUUUGUGUGGGAGUUGCACACUUGCAAGUGAUUAGAUGUUGUAUUGCUAGCAUUGUGAGCCUUGUGGAUUGCAUCUAGUGGUGUGGAGUACACUUGGUAGGAGUUGUGCAUGUGAUGUGUUUUCAUCGUGUGUGUUGUGCCUUAAGGAGAUAAGAUGCACUAGCUACUCUUGUGGAGCCCAUCUUUGGGAGUUUUAGGUGGUCUAAGGGAUCUUGUAGUUUUAUUUGCUUGCAUUGAUGUAGUGGGGUGUGGGUGCCUCCCCCUCAUCACAUGUCUUGAGGUGAAGAGUUGCACUAGAUAGCUAUUUAUGUUAGCAUGUGAAGGUGUGGAUGUUGUGGUGGUUGCAUAUAGAGGAUGACAUGAUUACUAGGAAGAUCCUAGUGAUGCUUGUGAGAGUGUGCACCAUCACAUGCCCAUAUGUGAGGGUGUGCUUACCCUCUUGUUAGUUUAAAGUGUCGUUUGUGUGAGCUUGAUGCUAGUGCUUGUGAGAAAUUGUGUGUGUUGGAGUUGUUGAUGUGCAUGACACAAACAUGGGGUUCAAACCCCCAUGUCACUUUGUCAUUGUGCACAUGAAACCCUCCUAUGUAGUUGUCAUCUUAAAAGCAUACCUUAUGGAUUUGCAUUUUCAUUUUGUUGAAAGUUUGGGCUUUGUUUCCAUGAUAUAGAUGGAGCCCAAAGACAUGGAUCUUGGUGUGUUAGUUGUAGGGGUUUGUGCUCAAUACCAUAGUGGUGUCAAACACCUCUUGGGAACUUGUGUGUGCAAACUAUGCCUAGACAAAGUGGGCAUGUGGUUGGGAAAUUCCAGAUUUUUGAACUCUGAAAAUUUCACUAAGUCUGGAAUGCUGAAAACAUUUUGUUCCUCUGUAGAUAAGGUUGUUCUGGUCAUUAUGUUGAGAACUGGACUUAGUUCAGUGCUAGUGUUUUGAACCUGGGAUGUUUGUGAAGCUUCCUGUCAAUUUUCAAGUCAUUUGGAGUCCAGUAGCUUGUGUUUGUAUUGCUGUCAAAAGGCUUCAGAACAGAAACAGAAACUCAGGUGCAGGAAUUUUCACUAAGUCCCUGAGAACUGAUGGUUUUGGGAAAGUUUGUGGUCUUGUAUCUUCUAGAGUUUAAUUCCUUUUGCUGUGAAUCUUGCUGGAGCUUGUAGUGUUCUUGGUUGGCAACAGCCACAUAUAUUAUUUGUCAUAUUUGAAGACCUGUAGCUAUGUUGCAUGUGGCUCACAAACAGCUAAGACGCAGAAACUGGCAGAUUGCGUAGUUUUGACAUUUUGUUCAAAGUUUGUGUUUAAUUGUUGUUGGGGUGUUCUACCAUGCUCCAUUUCAUUCAUGUUGGGUUAAUAUAUGUCUUGGCAACCUGGGAACACCAGAUUUGUGCCAAUUGUGUGUGUGGUGAUGAAUCUUUCACGUAGGGCUUCAUAUCGUGUUUCGUUGAUUCCCGUUGAUCCGUAGCUCCGUUUGCAAAGUUCUUUACAUGCUUUUGCACCGUUUUUACGAGCUGCAUCUGUUCAUAUUAUUCCCAUGCAUGUCCAAAUAGUUUAGUGCAAAGUUCUGUCCAGGAACUUGCUGUAGUUUAUCCUGCUUGUGCUAGUGUUAGAAAUAGUGGUGCAUGCUCAACUUUCAUCUCAUGCAUCAUGUGAUUGUUGCAUUUUGUGGUGCUGCUGUUCAUUGGCUGUUAUUUUUUGUGUUGGGUAGCACCGGGAGCGGAGAACGAUUACGUGGAGUCAGGAGAGUACGUGCAGGACGAUCCAGAACCAUUCCAAGCUGAGGAUAUCACAGGCAAGAUGACAUGACCUUGAUCCCAUAUCUAGACUUGUUAUGUUAGUUUAGAUUCCACGUAAUAUUGCUCGCUGCCUACCACUGAAAAUAUAUUGCCU
RNAcentral lists this long non-coding RNA (2757 nucleotides) under Hordeum vulgare. RNAcentral's name for it is "long non-coding RNA (HVUL_LNC018509)". Lineage: Eukaryota; Viridiplantae; Streptophyta; Magnoliopsida; Poales; Poaceae. The record is from RNAcentral.